This 77-nucleotide transfer RNA is filed under the name Gammaproteobacteria bacterium. Its description in RNAcentral is "tRNA-Pro". It matches the Rfam family "tRNA". From Rfam's summary of the family: Transfer RNA (tRNA) molecules are approximately 80 nucleotides in length. The record is from RNAcentral. Lineage: Bacteria; Pseudomonadati; Pseudomonadota; Gammaproteobacteria.
CGGGGUGUAGCUCAGCCUGGUAGAGCACUGCCUUCGGGAGGCAGGGGCCGCAAGUUCAAUUCUUGUCACCCCGACCA